AUUUUUCUUGGAAUCUUCAGAGUAUUUGCAGUUCUGCACAACACAACAUUGAAUCUUCGAAUUUGUCUACAUAAUUAUACAAGCUUCAAUUUUCGUUGUCAAUGGUGACAACUUGUGAAGUGCCUUAAUUUGCAUUCAGAAAGCUAUUUCUUGAUUUUCAUUUGAAGGCACACAUACUGUAAGCUAUAUCUCCCUUCCUCUACAUAAUCCAGUUAUGUAACGGCCAGAGUAUUGAUUCCCUCCCUCCCUCGACAUAUUCUGGUUAUGUUAUUUGCUAAGCUUAAUUUGCAUUUGAAGGCAUAUCCCUCCCUCUCUCUACAUAUUCCAGUUUAUGUUAGUUACUAAGUAUUGAUUUGCAAUUGAAGCCACAUGUGC
RNAcentral lists this unclassified non-coding RNA (375 nucleotides) under Hevea brasiliensis (rubber tree). Lineage: Eukaryota; Viridiplantae; Streptophyta; Magnoliopsida; Malpighiales; Euphorbiaceae. The record is from RNAcentral.